This 485-nucleotide ribosomal RNA is filed under the name uncultured bacterium. RNAcentral describes it as "partial 16S ribosomal RNA". It matches the Rfam family "Bacterial small subunit ribosomal RNA", at positions 29 to 507 of the family's 1533-position model. The record is from RNAcentral.
AGUGAACGCUGGCGGCAUGCCUAACACAUGCAAGUCGAACGGCAGCACGGUAGCUUGUACCUCUUGCCGGUUGGCGAACGGGUGCGUAUUACAUCUGAACCUGUCCUUACGUUUUGAUAGCGCGUCGCAAGCCGGAUUAAUACCUCAUACCGUCUACGGCCUACGGCGGGGGGCCUUCGGGCUUCGCGCCAUGCGGUUGUCCGAUGGCGGAUUAGCUAGUUGGUGGGGUAAAGGCCUACCAAGGCGACGAUCAGUAGCUGGUCUGAGAGGACGACCAGCCACACUGGAACUGAGACACGGCCCAGACUCCUACGGGAGGCAGCAGUGGGGAAUUUUGGACAAUGGGCGAAAGCCUGAUCCAGCAAUGCCGCGUGUGUGAAGAAGGCCUUCGGGUUGUAAAGCACUUUUGUCGGGAAAGAAAUCCUUGGCCCUAAUACGGUCGGGGGCUGACGGUACCGGAAGAAUAAGCACCGGCUAACUACGUG